GAGGGUGUAGCUCAGUGGCAGAGUGCCUGCUUAGCACGCAUGAGGUCCUGAGUUCAGUCCCCGGUACCUUUG
This 72-nucleotide transfer RNA is filed under the name Camelus dromedarius (Arabian camel). It matches the Rfam family "tRNA". Rfam says of the family: Transfer RNA (tRNA) molecules are approximately 80 nucleotides in length. Lineage: Eukaryota; Metazoa; Chordata; Mammalia; Artiodactyla; Camelidae. RNAcentral also lists the same sequence under 1 other name. The record is from Rfam by way of RNAcentral.